This 358-nucleotide transfer-messenger RNA is filed under the name Rhodospirillaceae bacterium. It matches the Rfam family "transfer-messenger RNA". From Rfam's summary of the family: Bacterial tmRNA, also known as 10Sa RNA or SsrA, is named for its dual tRNA and mRNA-like properties. Its role is to liberate the mRNA from a stalled ribosome. The record is from RNAcentral. Lineage: Bacteria; Pseudomonadati; Pseudomonadota; Alphaproteobacteria; Rhodospirillales; Rhodospirillaceae.
GGGGGCGAUCGGCUUCGACGUGGGCUGUGAAACCCUGUGUGCAUGCCGAGGCGCAGAGUACCUCGUUAAUCCAUCUGCAAACAAAAUAGUUGCCAACGAAGACAACUACGCGCUAGCUGCCUAAAAGCCAGUAAGGCGCCUUCCGACCGGUUCGUGCUUGUGCGUCCGGACCCGGGAGUCAUCACCGCAAGCUCGCCGGAGGGUACGUUCGGGGCCUGAAGGUCAAAACUUCACCGGACUGGCCCUGGGUUCACCUCGUCCGUCGGGAAACCCAGGGUAAGAACAACGGCGGAACAAGCAUGUAGAGCACCGGACGGAUCGCUUGCGGACGCGGGUUCGAUUCCCGCCGCCUCCACCA